This 254-nucleotide ribosomal RNA is filed under the name uncultured bacterium. Its description in RNAcentral is "partial 16S ribosomal RNA". It matches the Rfam family "Bacterial small subunit ribosomal RNA", at positions 524 to 776 of the family's 1533-position model. The record is from RNAcentral.
UACAGAGGGUGCAAGCGUUAAUCGAAAUUACUGGGCGUAAAGGGCGCGUAGGCGGUCGUGACAAGUCACUUGUGAAAUCUCCGGGCUUAACUCGGAACGGUCAAGUGAUACUGUCGGACUAGAGUACAGAAGGGGCAACUGGAAUUCUCGGUGUAGCGGUGAAAUGCGUAGAUAUCGAGAGGAACACCUGCGGCGAAGGCGGGUUGCUGGGCUGAUACUGACGCUGAGGCGCGAAAGCCAGGGGAGCGAACGGG